UUAGCAUGGAAUAAUAAAAUAGGACGAGUGAUUCUAUUUUGUUGGUUUAUAGAACCACCGUAAUGAUUAAUAGGAACAGUUGGGGGCAUUAGUAUUCAGUUGCUAGAGGUGAAAUUCUUGGAUUUACUGAAGACUAACUACUGCGAAAGCAUUUGCCAAGGAUGUUUUCAUUAAUAAAGGACGAUGGUUGGGGGAUCGAAAAUGAUUAGAUACCGCUGUAGUCCCAACAGUAAACUAUGCCGACUGAGGAUUGGAUGACGUUAUAUUAUUGACUCAUUCAGCACUCUGCGAGAAAUCAAAGUUUUUGGGCUUAGGGGGGAGUAUGGUCGCAAGGCUGAAACUUAAAGGAAUUGACGGAAGAGCACCACAAAGAGUGGAGCCUGCGGCUUAAUUUGACUCAACACGGGGAAACUCACCAUGUCCAGACAUAGUAAGGAUUGACAGAUUGAUAGCUCUUUCUUGAUUCUAUGGGUGGUGGUGCAUGGCCGUUCUUAGUUGGUGGAGUGAUUUGUCUGGUUAAUUCCGAUAACGAACGAGACCUUAACCUGCUAAAUAGCCGGUACGACAUUUUGUUGUACAUUGGCUUCUUAGAGGGACUAUUGAUGUUUAAUCAAUGGAAGUUUGAGGCAAUAACAGGUCUGUGAUGCCCUUAUAUGUUCUGGGCCGCACGCGCGCUACACUGACAGACGCAGCGAGUAUUAUAUUCCUUAUUCGAAAGAAUUGUGUAAUCUUGUUAAACUCUGUCGUGCUGGGGAUAGAGCAUUGCAAU
This 769-nucleotide ribosomal RNA is filed under the name uncultured fungus. Its description in RNAcentral is "SSU rRNA". It matches the Rfam family "Eukaryotic small subunit ribosomal RNA", at positions 804 to 1590 of the family's 1831-position model. The record is from RNAcentral. Lineage: Eukaryota; Fungi.